RNAcentral lists this ribosomal RNA (330 nucleotides) under Triticum aestivum (bread wheat). RNAcentral's name for it is "partial small subunit ribosomal RNA". The record is from RNAcentral. Lineage: Eukaryota; Viridiplantae; Streptophyta; Magnoliopsida; Poales; Poaceae.
CGGCGUCCCUCUCGUGUCAUUGCGCCACACACACCGCAUUUUCUUCUCUAUGGUGUUGCACCCACAUAUGACCACCUUCGUGUCUUCGGCUGCCUAUGCUUCCCGAACCAAUAUGCCACCAUGGAUCACAAACUCGCUCCCCGCUCGUCCCGCUGCGUCUUCCUUGGCUAUGCACUUGAGCACAAGGGUUACCGGUGUUUCGACCUCGACUCACGCCGCGUCAUCGUCUCUCGCCAUGUUAUAUUCGAUGAAAUAAUUUUUCCAUACAGCUGCCGCACGCCGGACCACACCACGGGCACAUCCAUAGAAAAUCCCCAUGCAAACAUCCAG